UACAGAGGUGGCAAGCGUUGUUCGGAAUUACUGGGCGUAAAGGGCGCGUAGGCGGCCAUCUAAGUCCGACGUGAAAUCCCCCGGCUUAACCUGGGAACUGCGUCUGAUACUGGACGGCUUGAGUGCGGGAGAGGGAUGUGGAAUUCCAGGUGUAGCGGUGAAAUGCGUAGAUAUCUGGAGGAACACCGGUGGCGAAGGCGGCGUUCUGGACUGCAACUGACACUGAGGAACGAAAGCCAGGGGAGCAAACGGG
RNAcentral lists this ribosomal RNA (253 nucleotides) under uncultured bacterium. RNAcentral describes it as "partial 16S ribosomal RNA". It matches the Rfam family "Bacterial small subunit ribosomal RNA", at positions 524 to 776 of the family's 1533-position model. The record is from RNAcentral.